Molecule: ribosomal RNA, 807 nt
Filed under: uncultured bacterium
Lineage: Bacteria
Description: bacterial SSU rRNA
Rfam family: Bacterial small subunit ribosomal RNA
Source: RNAcentral
AGAGUUUGAUCCUGGCUCAGAACGAACGCUGGCGGCGUGCCUAAUACAUGCAAGUCGAACGAGAAAGCCCGGCUUCGGUUGGGUAAGUAAAGUGGCGAACGGGUGAGUAACACGUGGAUAAUCUGCCUAUGCGUCCGGGAUAAUCCUUCGAAAGGAGGUCUAAUACCGGAUGACACCUUCUGACGGCAUCGUCGGAAGUUCAAAGACGGGGCAACCUGUUGCGUAUAGAUGAAUCCGCGCUCCAUUAGCUAGUUGGCGGGGUAAAAGCCCACCAAGGCUCCGAUGGAUAGCCGGCCUGAGAGGGUGAUCGGCCACACUGGGACUGAGAUACGGCCCAGACUCCUACGGGAGGCAGCAGUAGGGAAUAUUGCGCAAUGGACGAAAGUCUGACGCAGCAACGCCGCGUGGAUGAUGAAGCAUUUCGGUGUGUAAAAUCCUGUCGGUGGGGAAGAAACGUCUGGAGAGUAACUGCUCCAGGCCUGACGGUACCCACAAAGGAAGUCCCGGCUAACUCCGUGCCAGCAGCCGCGGUAAUACGGGGGGGACGAGCGUUGUUCGGAUUUACUGGGCGUAAAGGGCGCGUAGGCGGGUCUUCAAGUCGGAUGUGAAACCUAUCAGCUUAACUGGUAGCCUGCAUUUGAUACUGUUGAUCUUGAGUACGGGAGAGGAGAGUGGAAUUCCAGGUGUAGCGGUGAAAUGCGUAGAUAUCUGGAAGAACACCAGUAGCGAAGGCGGCUCUCYGGACCGAUACUGACGCUCAAGCGCGAAGGCUUGGGGAGCAAACAGGAUUAGAUACCCUGGUAGUCC